ACUUUAUCCACGCUAGAGAGGACACUUGGAAGCUCUUUCAGCAAACUGGAUUACACUAAAAACAGUUUUCUGUGGAUUAAAUGUUGCCAUAAUUCAUUGGAUUAACGAUCACUGAAGGAGCUGAAGGAGGGAGUCAUGAGGGUCAUCUGCUCCUCUCUGGUGCUUCUCACCAUCUGCUUGGGUCACGGGGGUCAACUGGCAUCAGUUGAAGGUGUCAGCUGCCCGUCCGUACAGGUAGAAGAAUGGAAGUUUCCUCAAACUGCCAGACACAACAUUACAGGUUUCAAUCUGGUGCGCCGUUUCUCCCUGUUGAAGAACAGCGAGGUCAAGAAGAUCCGAAACCCGAGAGGGCCUGUCAUCCUUCGCCUUGGGAAAGUACAACUCAUCCAACCUACAGAGUAAAUUUUUUAUAUUUUCUCUUUUGUUUGUCCUGGUAUCUAUUUUUCCUGAGAGAUUCUAAGAGGGUCAAUUAUAGAAAUAACUAAAUUUUCACUCUCUCAGACGAUGGAGCCUGUUCAUUCUGUAUCUAAAAGCAAUAAAACAUAAAGUACAAUAAGACAAAAUUGCAAAACUACCAAGGUAUUCUAGCAGGUCAGUACAAGCCUCGAAUUCCUGGCCGUUGACUGUUAUUUGGUAGAACAUUUACACUAACAUCAUGAAAGAAUCGC
This 668-nucleotide long non-coding RNA is filed under the name Sinocyclocheilus grahami. Its description in RNAcentral is "lncRNA (ENSSGRG00000039197.1)". The record is from RNAcentral. Lineage: Eukaryota; Metazoa; Chordata; Actinopteri; Cypriniformes; Cyprinidae.